UACGUAGGGUGGCGAGCGUUGUCCGGAAUUAUUGGGCGUAAAGGAGCUCGUAGGCGGUCUGUCGCGUCGUGCUGUGAAAACCCGAGGCUCAACCUCGGGCCUGCAGUGGGUACGGGCAGACUAGAGUGCGGUAGGGGAGAAUGGAAUUCCUGGUGUAGCGGUGGAAUGCGCAGAUAGUCAAGGAGGAACACCGAUGGCGAAGGCA
This 205-nucleotide ribosomal RNA is filed under the name uncultured bacterium. Its description in RNAcentral is "partial 16S ribosomal RNA". It matches the Rfam family "Bacterial small subunit ribosomal RNA", at positions 524 to 723 of the family's 1533-position model. The record is from RNAcentral.